This 29-nucleotide non-coding RNA is filed under the name Rattus norvegicus (Norway rat). Lineage: Eukaryota; Metazoa; Chordata; Mammalia; Rodentia; Muridae. The record is from RNAcentral.
UGUCUGUCGAGUAGACCUCAUCCCAACAU